This is a long non-coding RNA of Pezoporus occidentalis (night parrot), 285 nucleotides long. RefSeq lists it as uncharacterized. The record is from RefSeq and is a predicted model, not a curated record. NCBI's taxonomy places the organism in Eukaryota, Metazoa, Chordata, Aves, Psittaciformes, Psittacidae. The transcript has 3 exons.
CAGAGAGGGAGCUACCAUCCGGCUGACUAGCCGGGAGAAACAGAGCACAGAAGGAGCUGGGCAAGGAAGAAGAGGCAUUUCUCUGAAGGAGAGAAAGAGAGAAUGCAAGCCCCACCCACAGGACCAGGUUGAAACCUCUAGACUUGAAAGCUCUCCAAGACGAUGACAGAUCUGCAUGACUAACUGGAGAGUCUCGUCUCGCAAUAAUGUGCCUUUUGUUGCUGAACCCUUUCCAGUCUUAGCUGCAUUGCCAGGACAGAAUAAAAUAGGACAUUCCGCAUUUCA